Cherax quadricarinatus is the source of this 1426-nucleotide non-coding RNA. The record is from RefSeq and is a predicted model, not a curated record. NCBI's taxonomy places the organism in Eukaryota, Metazoa, Arthropoda, Malacostraca, Decapoda, Parastacidae.
GUCUGACGAUACAAGGAAUGCCUGUGUACAACACCAUAAUUCACACAACCAUUUAAUAAACUACAGAAACUCAAGACUUAUUGCCGCAGAAGACAACACUCAAUACCGAAGAAUCCUGGAAUCAUCGCUUAUCUCUAUAUCCGACAACUUCAACCAGAAUAAUGGCUUCUAUAACAAAGCUGAACCACUUGCCAAGAAACUUCUUCAUCGCUAUCCCACAUAAGAACAUAGGAAUGGAAGAACACUGCAGAAGGCCUGCUCACAAACUUAUCCAAUCUUUCUUCCAAGCUACCCAAGAUUUUAGACUCUAUAACCCCACUCGGUACAUCAUCAGAUGCAGCAUCCUCCACCUGACCUCAGCCUUCUGAACCUGACUAUAAAUACUUGCAUACCUUCCACCCCAGGUAGAUCUGUUUGUGACUUGAAAAAGCGCACUGUGUGGGCAAAACAUUGUCAAUAAAGGAUCACAUUAUACUUCAUAUGUGUUUAUAUUUCCAAUGCAAUAGUCUGUAUAACAGUAAAUAUACUAUUGUUGUGUGUGAAUAAAAUAAACCCAGUGAGGAGCAGGGGUGCAGUGGGGACAAUAAAGGAACACUGUAUCAACAUCUUACCAGAAGAUAUCAGAAACAUGGCUGGAACAAGUGUAGAAGCCUUCAAGAGAAAACUGGACAAGUAUCUUCACAAGGUGCCAGAUCAACCAGACUGUGGUGGAUAUGUGGGGCAGCGGGCCUCCAGCAGCAACAGCCUAGUUAACCAGCUAACCUUAGACGCCAUUGUCAAUGAGAGCCAACUAGUUAAAGAAAGAGUAAACGAGAGAGAGAACAAGAUACAGUGGACCCCCGCAUAACGAUCACCUCCCAAUGCGACCAAUUAUCUGCCGCCUCCACUAGUACUACUACUACUACCGCCACUAGUACUACUACUACUACUGCUGCUAAUACCACCACUAGUACUACUAAUACCACUGCUACUGUUACUACCACCAUUACUACCACCAACAGCAUGGUCUUGUCAACCUAUUGAAGAGCUUAUACUUUUACAUCUCACUUUAAUACCUAUAUACACUCUUAAUGUAUUGUUUGUAAUGACUUGACAAAGCUUCUGGAGAGCAAAAUGUUGCCACAAUAAAAAUGUUACAUUAACUGCACUUGUGUCCUUUUACCUAACAUAGUCAAUAAUGCUACCAACCGAACAGCUGAACGGCACAUGGAAAGGCUUUCACAGAAUGUGCUGUUCAAUUGUGGAUGAACUUUUGCAAUCACAUUCACAAAAAAUCAAACUUUACAUGAGUUUUAUAAGAGUUGACUGCAAUUUAACAAAUUCGUUCAUAUGACAGAUCAGUUAAAUUUACACAGCCAGGUUUCAAUUAGUGCUAGUUUAAAUGGUGCAUAUUUCUAUUUAGUAAAAAAUUAAUUAACGCUCGUUU